Molecule: ribosomal RNA, 564 nt
Filed under: uncultured Glomeromycotina
Lineage: Eukaryota; Fungi; Glomeromycota
Description: SSU rRNA
Rfam family: Eukaryotic small subunit ribosomal RNA
Source: RNAcentral
UUGGAGGGCAAGUCUGGUGCCCGCAGCCGCGGUAAUUCCAGCUCCAAUAGCGUAUAUUAAAGUUGUUGCAGUUAAAAAGCUCGUAGUUGAAUUUCGGGAUCAGAGUGUCGGUCGUGCCUCGGUACGCACUGGUAUUAUUGGUUCCUACCCUCUGAAGAACCGCGAUGUCAUUAAUUUGGUGUCGUGGGGAAUCAGGACUGUUACUUUGAAAAAAUUAGAGUGUUUAAAGCAGGCUUACGCUUGAAUACAUUAGCAUGGAAUAAUGAAAUAGGACGUUUGAUUCUAUUUUGUUGGUUUCUAGGAUUGACGUAAUGAUUAAUAGGGAUAGUUGGGGGCAUUAGUAUUCAAUUGUCAGAGGUGAAAUUCUUGGAUUUAUUGAAGACUAACUACUGCGAAAGCAUUUGCCAAGGAUGUUUUCAUUAAUCAAGAACGAAAGUUAGGGGAUCGAAGACGAUCAGAUACCGUCGUAGUCUUAACCAUAAACUAUGCCGACUAGGGAUCGGAUGAUGUUAAUUUUUUAAUGACUCAUUCGGCGCCUUACGGGAAACCAAAGUGUUUGGGUUC